This 354-nucleotide unclassified non-coding RNA is filed under the name soil metagenome. Its description in RNAcentral is "partial contains 5.8S ribosomal RNA, internal transcribed spacer 2, and large subunit ribosomal RNA". The stretch from base 3 to 121 matches the Rfam family "5.8S ribosomal RNA", at positions 36 to 154 of the family's 154-position model. The record is from RNAcentral.
GAAUGAAGAACGUAGCGAAAUGCGAUAAGUAAUGUGAAUUGCAGAAUUCAGUGAAUCAUCGAAUCUUUGAACGCACAUUGCGCCCGCCAGUAUUCUGGCGGGCAUGCCUGUUCGAGCGUCAUUACAACCCUCAGGCCCCCGGGCCUGGCGUUGGGGAUCGGCGGAAGCCCCCUGCGGGCACAACGCCGUCCCCCAAAUACAGUGGCAGUCCCGCCGCAGCUUCCAUUGCGUAGUAGCUAACACCUCGCAACUGGAGAGCGGCGCGGCCACGCCGUAAAACACCCAACUUCUGAAUGUUGACCUCGAAUCAGGUAGGAAUACCCGCUGAACUUAAGCAUAUCAAUAAGCGGAGGA